CAGCCGCCGCGGGAAUACGUAGGGUGCGAGCGUUAAUCGGAAUUACUGGGCGUAAAGCGUGCGCAGGCGGUUAUAUAAGACAGAUGUGAAAUCCCCGGGCUCAACCUGGGACCUGCAUUUGUGACUGUAUAGCUAGAGUACGGUAGAGGGGGAUGGAACUCCGCGUGUAGCAGUGAAAUGCGUAGAUAUGCGGAGGAACACCGAUGGCGAAGGCAAUCCCCUGGACCUGUACUGACGCUCAUGCACGAAAGCGUGGGGAGCAAACAGGAUUAGAUACCCCUGUAGUCCCUGUCUCUUAUAC
Molecule: ribosomal RNA, 301 nt
Filed under: uncultured bacterium
Lineage: Bacteria
Description: partial 16S ribosomal RNA
Rfam family: Bacterial small subunit ribosomal RNA
Source: RNAcentral